Molecule: ribosomal RNA, 379 nt
Filed under: uncultured bacterium
Lineage: Bacteria
Description: bacterial SSU rRNA
Rfam family: Bacterial small subunit ribosomal RNA
Source: RNAcentral
CCUGAACGCUGGCGGCGUGGCUAAGACAUGCAAGUCGCACGGGCCUAGCAAUAGGUCAGUGGCGAACGGGUGAGUAAUGAAUCGCUAACGUGCCCCGGACUCUGGGAUAGCCAACCGAAAGGUUGGGUAAUACCAGAUGACAUAACCCUUCCGCAUGGUGGGGUUCUCAAAGGUCCGCCGGUCUGGGAGCGGGCGAUUUCGUAUCAGCUAGUUGGUGCGGGUAACGGCCCACCAAGGCGACGACGCGUAGCCGGACUGAGAGGUUGGCCGGCCACAUUGGGACUGAGACACUGCCCCAGACUCCGUACGGGGGGCUNCAGUAAACGAAUCUUCCGCAAUGCACGCAAGUGUGACGGAGCGACGCCGCGUGUGGGACGAA